This 213-nucleotide unclassified non-coding RNA is filed under the name soil metagenome. RNAcentral's name for it is "partial contains 5.8S ribosomal RNA, internal transcribed spacer 2, and large subunit ribosomal RNA". The record is from RNAcentral.
AACGGUCUAUACCUGCGGUACCUGCGGAAGGAUCAUUACAGAGUUGAAAAACUCCCAAACCCUUGUGAACAUACCUAACGUUGCUUCGGCGGUGCGGCCCUAGGCCGCUGCCUCCCUGUGAGGCGCCCGCCGGAGGUUUACAAACUCUAUGUAUUAUAUUGUCUUCUCUGAGUUGUCUUUUAAAUAAGUCAAAACUUUCAACAACGGAUCUCU